AACGAACGCUGGCGGCAUGCCUAACACAUGCAAGUCGAACGAGACCUUCGGGUCUAGUGGCGCACGGGUGCGUAACGCGUGGGAAUCUGCCCUUGGGUUCGGAAUAACAGUUGGAAACGACUGCUAAUACCGGAUGAUGACGUAAGUCCAAAGAUUUAUCGCCCAGGGAUGAGCCCGCGUAGGAUUAGCUAGUUGGUGGGGUAAAGGCCUACCAAGGCGACGAUCCUUAGCUGGUCUGAGAGGAUGAUCAGCCACACUGGGACUGAGACACGGCCCAGACUCCUACGGGAGGCAGCAGUGGGGAAUAUUGGACAAUGGGCGAAAGCCUGAUCCAGCAAGGCCGCGUGAGUGAUGAAGGCCUUAGGGUUGUAAAGCUCUUUUACCCGGGAUGAUAAUGACAGUACCGGGAGAAUAAGCCCCGGCGAACUCCGU
RNAcentral lists this ribosomal RNA (432 nucleotides) under uncultured bacterium. RNAcentral's name for it is "partial 16S ribosomal RNA". It matches the Rfam family "Bacterial small subunit ribosomal RNA", at positions 29 to 506 of the family's 1533-position model. The record is from RNAcentral.